UGCACCAUCGGUAAAACCUAAGGCGACACGUGUCAAUCAAAGAGAUGAGUAGUACAUUGUUCAUCCCGUACAACGGCAGCGUACACCACCUAAUUUUGUAAGCAGCGUUUAUUAUACACGUGCUCUCUUCCUUUUUAACGCCGGAAAUCCCUCUUCCUUUUCCUUUUUCUCUCUUCAAACCAAAUCUCUACAUUUAGCCGUAGAAAUAUACGUAUAAUUAAUAUAUUGAUUGCCAUUUUUCGCCAUCAACGGAUUCGAUUCGGAACCCUAGCUAGAUUUUGGGAUCCUACACUUAUACAUAGAGAGAUAUAGUCUACUGUUACUUGUACUCUGUGUGUAAAUAAUUCAUUUCUAGAUUUUGGUUCGGAAGCCAUGGGAGCGGUGACAUCGUCCAUGGCAGCAAAGUUUGCGUUUUUUCCGCCGAAUCCGCCGUCGUAUGGAGUGGUGGUGGAAGAAUCGACGGGGAAAUUGAAGUUGACUGAAGUGGCGGCGAAGGAAAACGUUGACGUAUUGAAGCUACCGACGAAGAAGGGAACGGAGAUUGUCGCGGUGUAUAUUAGGAAUCCGGCGGCGACGCUGACGGUGCUUUACUCGCAUGGCAACGCGGCUGAUCUAGGUCAGAUGUACGAGUUGUUUGUCGAACUAAGUCACCUUCUCCGGGUCAAUUUGAUGGGAUAUGACUAUUCAGGGUAUGGGCGGUCCACCGGCAAGCCUAGUGAGCAGAAUACUUACGCCGACAUAGAAGCUGCAUAUAGAUGUCUUGAAGAGACAUAUGGGGUGAAAGAGGAAGAUGUCAUACUAUAUGGACAGUCGGUUGGUAGUGGACCCACACUGGAUCUGGCGUCGCGGUUGUCAAGAUUGAGGGCAGUGGUUCUUCACAGCCCAAUACUCUCCGGACUUCGUGUAAUGUAUGCAGUGAAGCGGACAUAUUGGUUUGACAUAUAUAAGAAUAUUGACAAAAUACCAUUGGUUGAAUGUCCUGUCCUCAUUAUUCACGGCACUGCAGAUGAUGUAGUUGAUUGCUCCCAUGGCAAACAACUUUUUGAGCUAUCUAAGCAGAAAUAUGAGCCUUUGUGGGUUAAAACUGGUAACCAUUGUGAUUUGGAGCUCUUCCCAGAGUACAUAAUACAUCUGAAGAAGUUCAUAUCAGCUAUUGAGAAAUCAACUAGUUUUAGAAAUGUAUCUGCUCUUAGCAUAAACCAAAUAGAUAAACCUCGAAGCAGUACAGAUUGUAGACCCCGGUCGAGCACAGAUCAGAGGGAGAAAUCUAGGCUAAGCACAGAGAAGAGAGAGCCUAGAAUAAGCACAGAUCAAAGAGAAAAAUCCAGAGCUAGCAUAGACCGCAAGGAGAAGUCGAGCAAGAGUGUGGAUCUCUCAGAUAAGGCAAAUGAUAAUACAGAACAACAAGAGAAAGCUAGAAAAAGCAUUGAUCGGUUAGCUUUGGCAACAUGAUGAGAUCUGCCGUAUUGUGCAAUAUUGAUUGCUUCAAGCCAGUGGGAGCAAAUGUCUGAAUGUCUGAUGAAGUUAUACGAUUGCUUUCAGAUAGCAGUUUUCCAAGAAUGUACGUGCUCCGGAGCUCAACUAAACAUCCCAAUGCAAACACUGUUUGUAGAUACCACGGCGAACCAAAAUGGUCUUAGCAUGAUAGUUAUCACACGGGAUCCUACAAUUUGGAUGAAUUGGGUUAGUAACAAGGAAAAAGUGGCGGGGUUUCUCUCGUUGGGUUAUGUGAUUAUAUGACCCAUUACAAAAUGUUCUUUUAAAAGUUUUAUGGCCCAUUUGACAGGAGAUCUAUUUAUUAUUUUAACACAUAGGAGAUACAGUGCUAUAAAGUACAAUAGAUCUUUGUGGUCGUUCUUUUUAAUUCAAAUUGUAACUGGCAAUUUAUAUCAUUUCCUCUCCCGUGCCUGUACCAAAUUGCAAA
This is an RNA transcript of Solanum lycopersicum (tomato), 1924 nucleotides long. RefSeq lists it as uncharacterized. The record is from RefSeq and is a predicted model, not a curated record. NCBI's taxonomy places the organism in Eukaryota, Viridiplantae, Streptophyta, Magnoliopsida, Solanales, Solanaceae.